CCUACGGGAGGCAGCAGUGAGGAAUAUUGGUCAAUGGACGGAAGUCUGAACCAGCCAUGCCGCGUGCAGGAAGACGGCUCUAUGAGUUGUAAACUGCUUUUGUACAAGGGUAAACCUGAAUACGUGUAUUCAGCUGAAAGUACUGUACGAAUAAGGAUCGGCUAACUCCGUGCCAGCAGCCGCGGUAAUACGGAGGAUCCAAGCGUUAUCCGGAUUUAUUGGGUUUAAAGGGUGCGUAGGCGGAUUGAUAAGUUAGAGGUGAAAUGUCCGAGCUUAACUCGGGAACUGCCUCUAAUACGGUUGAUCUAGAGGGUAGAUGAGGUAGGCGGAAUGUAUGGUGUAGCGGGGAAAUGCUUAGAGAUCAUACAGAACACCGAUUGCGAAGGCAGCUUACCAAUCUAUAUCUGACGUUGAGGCACGAAAGCGUGGGGAGCAAACAGGAUUAGAUACCCGUGUAGUC
RNAcentral lists this ribosomal RNA (460 nucleotides) under uncultured bacterium. RNAcentral's name for it is "partial 16S ribosomal RNA". It matches the Rfam family "Bacterial small subunit ribosomal RNA", at positions 338 to 795 of the family's 1533-position model. The record is from RNAcentral.